Molecule: ribosomal RNA, 810 nt
Filed under: uncultured archaeon
Lineage: Archaea
Description: bacterial SSU rRNA
Rfam family: Archaeal small subunit ribosomal RNA
Source: RNAcentral
AACCUAUGGACGGGAAUAACCUCGGGAAACUGAGUAUAAUUCCCGAUAGAACAUUAUGCCUGGAAUGGUUUAUGUUCCAAAUGAUUUAUCGCCGUAGGAUGGGACUGCGGCCUAUCAGUUUGUUGGUGAGGUAAUGGCCCACCAAGACUAUUACAGGUACGGGCUCUGAGAGGAGUAGCCCGGAGAUGGGUACUGAGACACGGACCCAGGCCCUAUGGGGCGCAGCAGGCGAGAAAACUUUGCAAUGUGCGAAAGCACGACAAGGUUAAUCCGAGUGGUUUCUGCUAAAGGAACCUUUUGUUAGUCCUAGAAACACUAACGAAUAAGGGGUGGGCAAGUUCUGGUGUCAGCCGCCGCGGUAAAACCAGCACCUCAAGUGGUCAGGAUGAUUAUUGGGCCUAAAGCAUCCGUAGCCGGCUCUGUAAGUUUUCGGUUAAAUCUGUACGCUCAACGUACAGGCUGCCGGGAAUACUGCAGAGCUAGGGAGUGGGAGAGGUAGACGGUACUCGGGAGGAAGGGGUAAAAUCCUUUGAUCUCUCGAUGACCACCUGUGGCGAAGGCGGUCUACCAGAACACGUCCGACGGUGAGGGAUGAAAGCUGGGGGAGCAAACCGGAUUAGAUACCCGGGUAGUCCCAGCUGUAAACUAUGCAAACUCAGUGAUGCAUUGACUUGUGGUCAAUGCAGUGCUGCAGGGAAGCCGUUAAGUUUGCCGCCUGGGAAGUACGUACGCAAGUAUGAAACUUAAAGGAAUUGGCGGGGGAGCACCACAAGGGGUGAAGCCUGCGGUUCAAUUGGAUUCAACGCCGGG